This 251-nucleotide ribosomal RNA is filed under the name uncultured Oscillibacter sp. Its description in RNAcentral is "partial 16S ribosomal RNA". It matches the Rfam family "Bacterial small subunit ribosomal RNA", at positions 88 to 339 of the family's 1533-position model. The record is from RNAcentral. Lineage: Bacteria; Bacillati; Bacillota; Clostridia; Eubacteriales; Oscillospiraceae.
GAGGACAGUGGCGGACGGGUGAGUAACGCGUGAGGAACCUGCCUUUCAGAGGGGGACAACAGUUGGAAACGACUGCUAAUACCGCAUGACACAUAGAGAUCGCAUGGUUUUUAUGUCAAAGAUUUAUCGCUGAAAGAUGGCCUCGCGUCUGAUUAGCUAGUUGGUGAGGUAACGGCCCACCAAGGCGACGAUCAGUAGCCGGACUGAGAGGUUGACCGGCCACAUUGGGACUGAGAAACGGUCCAAACUCC